GAUCUUGCCACAACAGCAGUAUUACUUUGUCACACACAUAAAUGCCACACACACCAUAGGCUGAUAGGUGGUUUUUGCGCUGCCCACCACCCUGCGUAGAUGGGGCUGGUUUCACCAACUCCUAAGCAAAAGAGGCAAUGUUUAAUAGAAGAGGAGGCAAAGGGGGAGCAGUGGCACUCAGUCUGGCUAGUGACCACUAUUUUUAUUUCCCGCAGUUACUAUAAUGGGAAGACAAGACAGGAGUUAUCAUGUAGCUUAAUUCCUGGGAUGCUUCAGGAGGAAAAUGGUGGCCGUCACUAGUAUUUCUCCCAAAAGUUUCCAAGGAAUGAUGGAACAUGCUGGCACAGGAAUAUUCUGUCAGGACUUGUCAGAAAUGAAAAUAGCAACUGACAGCUGUCCAGAGAAGUGCCUCUGUCUGUGUAAAACUUACAGCAGUGGUGAAGUGGGGGAUGUUUUAAGAGAAAUUCUCCUACCCCAAAUUCUAGUCAAAAGUUCCUGCUAAGAACUUAUUUGCACUAAUAUUUGUAGGAAAAAAUGCUCCACCCAGCAAGUAGAAGCUUACAAAAGUGAGGUGUCUUGUCUCUUUGUUCUGUAUAUAGCCCAAGAAAACAGUGUUCUGCUGUGCUCGUUUCUCUGGCCUGCAGUAUUAGGCAAAACUCUAGGGAUUUCCUUUCACUGCUAAACAUCUGAGGAGCUGAAUGGAAAACCCUGGGGUUUAGGGCAGAAGGGAGCCUACCUUUUUCUCUUCAGCUAUUGUGGAGCCUUAAGAGCCAGGCUUUCUUGGGAGAAGGCUGGCUUUACAUUCUAAAGUGCGCUCUGAGGGAAAUCUGAAUUCCCCACAUGGCCUGUGAAAUAACUUUCCAUCCUCCCUCGCCGUCUCAGGCUGCCACAGCGCUGACAAUUGAGCAAAGGGUGAGUUCUGAAAGGUUUGGAAUGGUUUUUACAGCUGGAGGGUGCUGGGGAAACUUGCACCUUGGAUUCUGCCUCUCUCUUUUUGCUUCGUUUCGAAGACGUAUAAUUUACCUGCCCUGCUCCAUCUUUCCUAAACCCUUCAUCCUCCUGCAUUUCAAAGCAACAGCAGGAAGGCAGACAAUGGCUUUGGCAGGAUAUCGGUUAGACACCCAGAUGUAUAGUAUAUUAUGCCGGGCUGACUUACGUUGCCUCUCAAACAUUAUAGCAUCAUCUCCUGGUUUUAAAAGCUCGCGUCUCCGAAAAGGGGCAGCAGUGGUGGUGAUGAAUAAAUAUUGCUGUAGCAGCAUGCACAAGUGAUAUUCUGGGAAGCAACCAAAUGAGUCAGUUUAGCUGACACAAAGUCACUUUGAUUGUUCUCCCUCCCAUCUGUUCCUGAAAUGGAUGAAAGCGUUUGCUGUAUUGGAAGUGCCUUUUUGACCUGAUGCACUGUACAUAUUUGCCUUUGAAACAAACACACACAGAUCUCCCUAAUACUUUGAUUAGACUGUGUUGGACUAUGAGUAGGGAUAUGCAAUCAAUCGCAGUUUGCAGUUAAAAGUUAACCUACCUAAUUCACACCUUCCAAAGCAAUACACAAACUGAAACACAGUCAUCCUUUGAAAUUCUCACUUCUAAUUUUACUGUGCAGUUUUUCAGCCAAGUAAUGAGUACAAAAUGCAUAAGCUAGGAUAAAAUGUGCUUAAAAAGCAUAUAUUGGUGGAUACAAGACACAACAAUGGGUGGGGGGGAGCUUGACUGAAAUCCCUACUCAGCCAUGAAGCUGACCUUGGAUUAAUCAUUUCCUCUCAGCCCAUCCUACCUCACUGGGUUGUUGUUCUAAUGAAAUAGAAGGGGAAGGAAUGGCGCAUGUCGCCUUUUGCUUCAUGGAAGAAAGGUGGAGUAUACGGUAAAUGCAGUACGAGUAAACCCAUUGUUUCCUGUUCUCUAAUGGGAUGUGUCAUUCAGUUCCUGCUGUGUACAUCAACCUUAAAAAAUAUAUUACUGUUAUCUCAACAAAAACACAACUUUGCUGCUUGUUAAUGAAUUGCAGCCUUAUACCUUGUCAUCCAAGUUAGACACAGUUAGUGAGAAAUUGUCAGCCAUGCUGUCAGAACGAGCCACACGGUUGAAAACCCACAUAUACCAAAUGGCAAUAUUAAUGUACUUAGAUUUGUUGUGUCUUAUCUGCAAGAACAGUUCAAGAAUCGGAGGUGUGUGGGAGUGGGAGGCGGGUGGUGGAGGAGAAGAAAGGAGGUAAGGGGAACCUAAAGCAGAUUUUUUUGUAGUGGGAAACUCUGCAUUCCUUCAAAGAAUUAAAAACAGAUUCCCAGGCAGAGUCCCAGAAUCCUGGCACAAUGAAGAGCACACACAGUAAGGGAUAAAAACUGUGAGCAGGCAUUUCAGUGAGGAAGGACUAGAAAAGGUAUUAUUGGGGUUAGGGGAAGCCGGGGUAAAUAUAUAUUUCAAAACAGAUACCUUAAAACAGAUACCUUUGGUACCUUAAAGCCUUAAAAAUGAAAAUGUAUGAACACAUUCUUUUAAGAUGAGCUGCAGAUUGCUUAGUCUGUCCCCACUGUGGAAUGUUUAAUAUUGUUAUUUUUAUUGAUUUGGUUUACUUUUUGUAUUUUUAAAUAUGGAAUGAUGCUAUGUGUUUUGUUUUGCUUUUUUUGCAAGGCACUUAGAAAAUCUUCUUGGUGGCUGGGAUUAUCGAACAAUUAAUGAAUUGAUUAAUGCUAAACACAUUACUGUGGAGAUGGACUCUGCUCUCUGAAUACACAUUAUGUUAGCAAAGGAGAGUGGGCCACACUUAUAAGAGGUCAAGCUGUUGUGAACCACUACAUGUCCUAUUCCCUGUGAGCCUGGGUCUUCAAUUAUAAUUGUGUGGGAGGGGGAAAAGAGAGGAGAUGCAGUCUCCACAUGCUCAGAGUGACUUCUCUUGAUAGGUUCCGGGUAGGGGACAAAUCAGAUUCAGUUCACAUUUAAAUUCAAAUUCGUCAAAUGUACACUUUCCAAAGCCACAGGAGAACAGAGAACAGCCACCCUUCAGAAGUUGCCCUUAUACUUGUUUUGCAAUGUAGUUCUCCAACUAACCAUGUUCUAAAAAUGCAUAGAUUAGGCGAAAGUGUGUGUGAAAUUGGAUAUAUUAGCAAAACUAACAUUCAAAAUGCAUUAUAUCACUGAGAUGCCUUAUAUUAGGAAAAAUUGCUUUCAAAAAAUGUGUGUGUUAGUCAAAACUGCAUACAAAAAUGUGUUUGUGAGGAGAAAUCUGCCCUCAGUUGCUGAAGAAUUAUUUAUUGCUUGAAUCGUAUACCCAAACCAGGGCACUAGCCUUUACAGCACCUACACACCAUAUUGUGCUAUAAUAGCCUCGACAGCUAGUAUAUUUAUACUUGCAGCCUUUGUUGUCAAUUUCCCCCCAUAUGCACAGUUUAAAAGGACAUUUGAUUUCCUGCAGCUGAGUGCUCACAUUAGCAUGUAAGCGCAUAACAUACCAAUUUGACAGGGUGGCUGGAUAUUGCAGAUGGUGUGUGUGUGUGUGUUGCUGUCACUUUCAUUUCAGAAGUUGCUUGUAGAAACUAAUAUCUGAGAAACUGUUGGUGAUUAAUCUGAUCAGCCACAACUAGUUAACGUGAACUGAAAUCCCACGGAGGUGACAGGAGCACAAACCCACCUCAGUCAUUCAGAAGUGUGGGGUGGGGUGUUUGAGUAUCUAGACUAUCUUCCUAGCGGCUGCAUUGCUUCCACUUAUUUGGAAGAAGAGGGGAAGCAGAAGGUGUCAGAAGUAUCUACACCUUGUAGAUACACAGGUGGAGCCCAUCCAUGCUCCCAUCAGUGUACGAGAACUGUAGUGACCUUCCUACCACCUCACUGCUCUCAGUAAGGGUGCAUUCAGACAUGGGGAAUAAUACACUAAACUUCAUUCACACCGCUUCUCCUGUGAUUUCUCCACAAAAGCAUCAGGGAAGGCUUGUAUGCUAUUAUACUGUCCCCCAAAUUUUAUCACUUUACUUUUGUGUGUUUCCAGGUUAAGGGGCCUGCAAAUUGAUCCUUCCCCUCCAGAAUUAAAUAACACAAAAAUGAGCACUUAGAAUACACAGUACAGUGGUACCUCAGGUUAAGUACUUAAUUCGUUCCAGAGGUCCGUUCUUAACCUGAAACUGUUCUUAACCUGAAGCACCAUUUUCGCUAAUGGGGCCUCCUGCUGCUGCCGUGCCACCGCCGCACAAUUUCUGUUCUCAUCCUGAAGCAAAGUUCUUAACCCAAGGUACUAUUUCUGGAUUAGCAGAGUCUAUAACCUGAAGCGUAUGUAACCUGAAGCGUAUGUAACCCAAGGUACCACUGUAUUACUUUUCUGGAAGUGGCUUUUGCUUCACGUGAAAACUCAAAUAUCAUGCAGAAAUAAGCAGUUAGGGAAACAUCGGGGAAGUGGAAUACACUGCUGUGUGAAUGCAACCUAAGUGGCCAGAAAGCUAGUGUUGCUUCUCUGCCUUCCUUGGCAAGCAUUAGUCUCCAUGCAACUCAACAUCUUGGAGGAAUGCGUGCGGAGGGGCUGUCUUGUCAAGCACACGUAGGCUCUCCCUGUGAGCUUGACACCUUGUGCGAUGGCCAUCUGCAUAGCAUUCGCUUCCAGUAUUCCUUUCUCCUCUUCCUAGGCCACAUCCUUCCACAGAAAGAAUUGACAGAAACUUCCCCUGUGGCCCAAGGCCCUUAGCAUUCAAAACUGUCUCUGGCAGUAUCAUUUGUUCCUACGUGGUUCAGGAGGAAAGGAUCCUGGCCAGUGGGCUAGAUGAGUUUUGGCAAGCUUUUUUUGGUCACAUCCUAGAUACGUUCUCACUUUACGUUUUUAGGGAGUACACUUUUUUUAAAAAACAAACCCUUAGUUGUACACCUAGGAGGGUAAAAAUAAUGCGUGAAGCAGCACUUUAUAAUUGUGAAAGCCUUCACAGUCUCAUAGUCCCACAGUACUUAACAUCAAAAUGACUUGCCACACGAUAGAGACUGGAUGUCUUAUUAAUCAAAAAUUAGAUUAAUAAAAUAGGUAUUAAUAAUAACAAUCCAAAAUGUAUUUAUUGUAUUUUUAUCCUGCACUUCCUCCAAGGAGUUCAGAGUGGUUCAUAUUUUUCUCUUCUUUGCCCCUGUUUUUUUUUUUUUUUUUUUUUUUUACAACAGUCCUGUGAGGUAGAUCCAUCUGGGGCGGAGAGACUGAAUGGCCCAAAGUCACCCAGUGGGAGAUAAAUGAUUGAGUGAGAAUUUCAACCUGAGUCUCCCCAGAUUCAGUCUAAGAAGUCCUCAUAAUGCCUCCACCAUUUUGGCUUGUUUAAUGCAGAAGAGUAGUCUCAAACCCAGCCAAGUAAUAAAGCCAGCAAAGAAUCCAGUUUAUUGACUGGAAAUAAGCCCUUCUGAACUUGGUAGGACUUGUUUACGAGUAACUGGAUUGUGCUGUUAGAAGCACACAGUGUGGCUGCCUGUUUCAUUGAGUGAAAUGCAGAAUGUGAGCAGAUUUGAUAUGACAAAUAAACAUUCUCAGCAACAGUAUGUACAGGAGGAUUUUUUUAAAAAUAUUUAAUCACCUGCAAAGUGAUUUGUGUCUUAACUCUUAAGAGCAGCUCUGCUUCUGAAAUCUCGUGUGGCUUUUCCGUUCAGUCUCUUGUUAUCAGAACUGGCGGGAUCUUCCCAACCCCACUGGAAAGAAAAUGAAAUCAGCAAGCACACAACUCAUCUGUGCUGCUCUGUUGAUGUUCUUCCUUGGAGGUUUUUAAGCAGAGGUUGGAUGGCCAUCUGUCAUGGAUGCUUUAGCUGAGAUUCCUGCAUUGUGGGGGGGGGGGGGGUUAGACGAGAUGAACCCUUGUGGUCCUUUCCAACUCUAAGAUUCUAUAAUUCUGUUAUUCCUAAUGCCAAUAAUUUAUCAGUUUCUCUCCGCCAUACAUUUGCUGCAAUG
Podarcis lilfordi (Lilford's wall lizard) is the source of this 5890-nucleotide non-coding RNA. The record is from the annotation of a GenBank genome assembly. Lineage: Eukaryota; Metazoa; Chordata; Lepidosauria; Squamata; Lacertidae.